GAGUAGGGCGGGACACGUGGUAUCCUGUCUGAAUAUGGGGGGACCAUCCUCCAAGGCUAAAUACUCCUGACUGACCGAUAGUGAACCAGUACCGUGAGGGAAAGGCGAAAAGAACCCCGGCGAGGGGAGUGAAAAAGAACCUGAAACCGUGUACGUACAAGCAGUGGGAGCACAGGUUUACCUGUGUGACUGCGUACCUUUUGUAUAAUGGGUCAGCGACUUAUAUUCUGUAGCAAGGUUAACCGUAUAGGGGAGCCGGAGGGAAACCGAGUCUUAACCGGGCGUUAAGUUGCAGGGUAUAGACCCGAAACCCGGUGAUCUAGCCAUGGGCAGGUUGAAGGUUGGGUAACACUAACUGGAGGACCGAACCGACUAAUGUUGAAAAAUUAGCGGAUGACCUGUGGCUGGGGGUGAAAGGCCAAUCAAACCGGGAGAUAGCUGGUUCUCCCCGAAAGCUAUUUAGGUAGCGCCUCGUGAAUUCAUCUCCGGGGGUAGAGCACUGUUUCGGCUAGGGGGCCAUCCCGGCUUACCAACCCGAUGCAAACUGCGAAUACCGGAGAAUGU
This 564-nucleotide ribosomal RNA is filed under the name Salmonella enterica subsp. enterica serovar Paratyphi A. Its description in RNAcentral is "partial 23S ribosomal RNA". It matches the Rfam family "Bacterial large subunit ribosomal RNA", at positions 410 to 973 of the family's 2925-position model. The record is from RNAcentral. Lineage: Bacteria; Pseudomonadati; Pseudomonadota; Gammaproteobacteria; Enterobacterales; Enterobacteriaceae.